RNAcentral lists this transfer RNA (73 nucleotides) under Nothoprocta perdicaria. It matches the Rfam family "tRNA". Rfam says of the family: Transfer RNA (tRNA) molecules are approximately 80 nucleotides in length. Their secondary structure includes four short double-helical elements and three loops (D, anti-codon, and T loops). The record is from Rfam by way of RNAcentral. Lineage: Eukaryota; Metazoa; Chordata; Aves; Tinamiformes; Tinamidae.
UAGACAGAAGCCUGCAGGAUAAGGCAUUUAGCUGUUAACUAGAAUGUUAUGGGAUCAAGGCCCAUCUGUCUAG